AACGAACGCUGGCGGCAUGCCUAACACAUGCAAGUCGAACGAGACCUUCGGGUCUAGUGGCGCACGGGUGCGUAACGCGUGGGAACCUGCCCUUAGGUUCGGAAUAACUCCCCGAAAGGGGUGCUAAUACCAGAUAAUGUCUUCGGACCAAAGAUUUAUCGCCUUUGGAUGGGCCCGCGUUGGAUUAGCUAGUUGGUAGGGUAAAAGCCUACCAAGGCGACGAUCCAAAGCUGGUCUGAGAGGAUGAUCAGCCACACUGGGACUGAGACACGGCCCAGACUCCUACGGGAGGCAGCAGUGGGGAAUAUUGGACAAUGGGCGAAAGCCUGAUCCAGCAAUGCCGCGUGAGUGAUGAAGGCCUUAGGGUUGUAAAGCUCUUUUACCCGGGAUGAUAAUGACAGUACCGGGAGAAUAAGCUCCGGCUAACUCCGUG
RNAcentral lists this ribosomal RNA (433 nucleotides) under uncultured bacterium. RNAcentral's name for it is "partial 16S ribosomal RNA". It matches the Rfam family "Bacterial small subunit ribosomal RNA", at positions 29 to 507 of the family's 1533-position model. The record is from RNAcentral.